Molecule: ribosomal RNA, 1399 nt
Filed under: actinomycete LQ129
Lineage: Bacteria; Bacillati; Actinomycetota; Actinomycetes; Actinomycetales
Description: bacterial SSU rRNA
Rfam family: Bacterial small subunit ribosomal RNA
Source: RNAcentral
GCAAUAUACGAACGAUGAAGCCUUUCGGGGUGGAUUAGUGGCGAACGGGUGAGUAACACGUGGGCAAUCUGCCCUUCACUCUGGGACAAGCCCUGGAAACGGGGUCUAAUACCGGAUAACACUCUGUCCCGCAUGGGACGGGGUUAAAAGCUCCGGCGGUGAAGGAUGAGCCCGCGGCCUAUCAGCUUGUUGGUGGGGUAAUGGCCUACCAAGGCGACGACGGGUAGCCGGCCUGAGAGGGCGACCGGCCACACUGGGACUGAGACACGGCCCAAACUCCUACGGGAGGCAGCAGUGGGGAAUAUUGCACAAUGGGCGAAAGCCUGAUGCAGCGACGCCGCGUGAGGGAUGACGGCCUUCGGGUUGUAAACCUCUUUCAGCAGGGAAGAAGCGAAAGUGACGGUACCUGCAGAAGAAGCGCCGGCUAACUACGUGCCAGCAGCCGCGGUAAUACGUAGGGCGCAAGCGUUGUCCGGAAUUAUUGGGCGUAAAGAGCUCGUAGGCGGCUUGUCACGUCGGAUGUGAAAGCCCGGGGCUUAACCCCGGGUCUGCAUUCGAUACGGGCUAGCUAGAGUGUGGUAGGGGAGAUCGGAAUUCCUGGUGUAGCGGUGAAAUGCGCAGAUAUCAGGAGGAACACCGGUGGCGAAGGCGGAUCUCUGGGCCAUUACUGACGCUGAGGAGCGAAAGCGUGGGGAGCGAACAGGAUUAGAUACCCUGGUAGUCCACGCCGUAAACGUUGGGAACUAGGUGUUGGCGACAUUCCACGUCGUCGGUGCCGCAGCUAACGCAUUAAGUUCCCCGCCUGGGGAGUACGGCCGCAAGGCUAAAACUCAAAGGAAUUGACGGGGGCCCGCACAAGCAGCGGAGCAUGUGGCUUAAUUCGACGCAACGCGAAGAACCUUACCAAGGCUUGACAUAUACCGGAAAGCAUCAGAGAUGGUGCCCCCCUUGUGGUCGGUAUACAGGUGGUGCAUGGCUGUCGUCAGCUCGUGUCGUGAGAUGUUGGGUUAAGUCCCGCAACGAGCGCAACCCUUGUUCUGUGUUGCCAGCAUGCCCUUCGGGGUGAUGGGGACUCACAGGAGACUGCCGGGGUCAACUCGGAGGAAGGUGGGGACGACGUCAAGUCAUCAUGCCCCUUAUGUCUUGGGCUGCACACGUGCUACAAUGGCCGGUACAAUGAGCUGCGAUGCCGCGAGGCGGAGCGAAUCUCAAAAAGCCGGUCUCAGUUCGGAUUGGGGUCUGCAACUCGACCCCAUGAAGUCGGAGUUGCUAGUAAUCGCAGAUCAGCAUUGCUGCGGUGAAUACGUUCCCGGGCCUUGUACACACCGCCCGUCACGUCACGAAAGUCGGUAACACCCGAAGCCGGUGGCCCAACCCCUUGUGGGAGGGAGCUGUCGAA